GUUACGGGGGGUGGCGUUUUGCUGCGCUUCGGCCCUUCCGGCCCUUUUUUGGGGCUCGCGGUGAGGGGCAUCGCCGUGAGGCGCGCGGUGACCUCUUCGUUCCCCGCACGGCUGGUGUCUCAUCGCUUCCAUCGGUUCGUCUUUGCCUUUCCAACAGGGAAUCGUCUUUGCAGUGUUCUCUGUAGGACACCACGGCGGUUACGGCCAGUCCCCGCUCACACGUGCAGUAUUAUGAAUGUGUUUACCAACAUGCAAUACAAAUCGUGUUUCAUCAAAUGCUCACCCAGAAUGCAGCUGUGCAAACUGAGUAGAAGAAUGCAGAUUAUAAUAAAGAAGGGCAAGAGAGCACCAUGAAGAGUCAAAGAGUUCUCAAGAUCAGGGGCGAGACUCUUGAUUUUUGUAAUGUAUAUAUAAUUUUGUGGUCCAGAAAGCCAAGAUAGCCUGAUAUGAAACUGAGUAUUUCCUCAAUAAAGACAAAGUCACUGAGGAGCCACAACAAGAAUGAUCUAACUGCAAGUUUCAUCCCUAUUAUCACCACCCAUUGGCCCCUGUGACAAAAUUAGGGGCUAUAAACUGCGCUUGCUCGUCAGGUUCCAUAGCUGAUAAUUCCAGGUGCAUGUGAUCAGCACCAAUCAAAUAGACCUGUUUGAACUUGGAAGAGUGCUGAACACCAUGAGAUCUCACCACCACCACAGCCUCCACCACUCCUUAGGCUUCAGACUGCUGUUGAAGAAGACACCACUGUUUUGGAAAGCACUAUGUUUACCUCUCUGUACACCUACUGACAAGUCAAAUUUUUAAAUUUAGUUACUUACA
Molecule: long non-coding RNA, 816 nt
Organism: Rhea pennata
Lineage: Eukaryota; Metazoa; Chordata; Aves; Rheiformes; Rheidae
Exons: 4
Source: RefSeq, a predicted model, not a curated record